RNAcentral lists this ribosomal RNA (253 nucleotides) under uncultured bacterium. RNAcentral's name for it is "partial 16S ribosomal RNA". It matches the Rfam family "Bacterial small subunit ribosomal RNA", at positions 524 to 776 of the family's 1533-position model. The record is from RNAcentral.
GACGUAGGAAGCAAGCGUUGUCCGGAAUUACUGGGCGUAAAGGGUGCGUAGGUGGUUUGGCAAGUUGGCGGCGUAAUUCCGAGGCUCAACCUCGGCGCUACCGCCAAAACUGUCGGACUUGAGUGCAGGAGGGGUAAGUGGAAUUCCUAGUGUAGCGGUGGAAUGCGUAGAUAUUAGGAGGAACAUCGGUGGCGAAGGCGACUUACUGGACUGUAACUGACACUGAGGCACGAAAGCGUGGGGAGCAAACAGG